This 465-nucleotide ribosomal RNA is filed under the name uncultured bacterium. RNAcentral describes it as "partial 16S ribosomal RNA". It matches the Rfam family "Bacterial small subunit ribosomal RNA", at positions 28 to 507 of the family's 1533-position model. The record is from RNAcentral.
GACGAACGCUGGCGGCGUGCUUAACACAUGCAAGUCGAACGGAAAGGCACCUUUGGGGGUACUCGAGUGGCGAACGGGUGAGUAACACGUGAGUAACCUGCCCUUUACUUCGGGAUAACGUCAGGAAACUGGGGCUAAUACCGGAUAGGAAUCCUUGCUGCAUGGUGGGGGUUGGAAAGCUUCGGCGGUUUUGGAUGGACUGGCGGCUUAUCAGCUUGUUGGUGGGGUAGUGGCUUACCAAGGCUUUGACGGGUAGCCGGCCUGAGAGGGCGAGCGGCCACAUUGGGUCUGAGAGACGGCACAGACUCGUACGGGAGGCAGCAGUGGGGAAUAUUGCACAAUGGGCGGAAGCCUGAUGAAGCAAGGCCGCGUGCGGGAUGACGGUUUUCGGGUUGUAAACCGCUUUCAGCAGGGGCGAAGCUUGUGGUGACGGUACCUGCAGAAGAAGCACCGGCUAACUACGUG